CUUUCUCCGUUCACCACACCCUGCCGGUUUACCUAUUUUAUCUUGCCCUUUAUUAUUUAUUAAAAUUCCAUUUGAACCUUCCCUCGGCUUGUGUGUCUGCAUAUUUGGGUCUGUCUUGCAUCAGACAUAACAGAAGUUUCUCUGUCCACACAUCACAACAGCAUCUAGUGAGAAACCCAAACAGAAGAACGAGGGAGGAGGAGAGCCCUUCAAAUGGAUAUUACCACUGUGUUUACCUGUGGAAAAUGGAAAAGUGAGUUUAGAACUAUCUCUAGGAUCUUUACUGUACCUUCAGAACUGGAUAAAGAGCGCAGCAGAAGAUACAGCGGUUAUAAAAUAUGUUGGCAAGUUUCAUUGCACUUUGUCUUGAUCUUUGUCACAUAUCAACACCUGCACCUGUGCUCUGUGUGAAAAAGAGAAUGUGGAUUUGACUUUUCCCCACUUGUAUGGAGGAGCGCCAAAUCAAAAGUUAAUAGCUACAUUUCACUUGUCUUCAACUGUCCUUUUAAAGAAAAAUUCUCUUUUUGUAGUCUGAGUAUGGCAGUGAGAAAUAACAAACCAUAACUGAAUUCAAGCCCAUGUUUGUUUUUGUAUUUCUGCUAUAAUUAAAAGGUGGUGGUUCACUUUGGUCAGAUUGGUAAUAGUUAAGAUGAUAUAUGGAAACAUCCUGGUGUGACAUUAAAUAUUACCAUUUAGAGAAUGAAUGUGCUUCAGAAUGUUUUAGAUUUAGAAUUGCACCACAGGAGAGUGAAAUACUUGGUUAUGCAAAAGUGACUUUUUAAAUCUGAAAAUACAAUGCAAACUUAGUCAAACCUCUUAGCCAUGUGUAAAAAUACUCUACUGUACUGGUCUUCAUUGUUUUAAAGAGAGGUGGAAAUCAAUUGUGCAAAUCAAAAUCCUGCACCAGGUCAGAGACCCACUGGUACCUGCAGAAAACAACGUGGGUAAAUGUUUAAUAUUCACGGCUAU
This is a long non-coding RNA of Monopterus albus (swamp eel), 969 nucleotides long. RefSeq lists it as uncharacterized. The transcript has 3 exons. Lineage: Eukaryota; Metazoa; Chordata; Actinopteri; Synbranchiformes; Synbranchidae. The record is from RefSeq and is a predicted model, not a curated record.